RNAcentral lists this ribosomal RNA (253 nucleotides) under uncultured bacterium. Its description in RNAcentral is "partial 16S ribosomal RNA". It matches the Rfam family "Bacterial small subunit ribosomal RNA", at positions 524 to 776 of the family's 1533-position model. The record is from RNAcentral.
UACAGAGGUCUCAAGCGUUGUUCGGAUUCAUUGGGCGUAAAGGGUGCGUAGGCGGCGCGGUAAGUCGGGUGUGAAAUCUUGGAGCUUAACUCCGAAACUGCAUUCGAUACUGCCGUGCUUGAGGACUGGAGAGGAGACUGGAAUUUACGGUGUAGCGGUGAAAUGCGUAGAUAUCGGAAGGAAGACCAGUGGCGAAGGCGGGUCUCUGGACAGUUCCUGACGCUGAGGCACGAAGGUCAGGGGAGCAAACGGG